Trichonephila clavata is the source of this 76-nucleotide non-coding RNA. Lineage: Eukaryota; Metazoa; Arthropoda; Arachnida; Araneae; Nephilidae. The record is from the annotation of a GenBank genome assembly.
GCCUCUGUAGAGCUACAGAAAGCGCGUUGAACUUCUAAUUCAAAGGUCGUGGGUUCGAAUACCACCUGGGAUGGCA